CGCAUCUGUGCAUGCAGCAUAUCAAUAAGCGGAGGAAAAGAAACUAACAAGGAUUCCCUUAGUAACGGCGAGUGAAGCGGGAAGAGCUCAAAUUUGAAAUCUUCAAGGUUUUACCUUGACGAAUUGUAGUUUAAAGAAGUGUUUUCUGUUGAAGUUUUGGUAAAAGUUCUUUGGAAUAGGACAUCAUAGAGGGUGAGAAUCCCGUAUUUGACCAUUAUUUUCAGCUGUGUGAUACACUUUCAAAGAGUCGGAUUGUUUGGGAAUGCAGUCCAAAAUGGGUGGUAAAUUUCAUCUAAAGCUAAAUAUUGGCGAGAGACCGAUAGCGAACAAGUACCGUGAGGGAAAGAUGAAAAGAACUUUGAAAAGAGAGUUAAACAGUACGUGAAAUUGUCAAAAGGGAAGCGUUUGACACCAGUGUUGUUUUCUCGAAAAUCAAUUAAAAAGAGUUAGAUUUUGUUGUGUAUUGACCUUAACAGCUUGCAUUUCAAUUUUCUUGCUUUUUUUAAUGCACUUUUCGUUUAACAAGUCAACAUCAGUUUCUUUUGUUGUAAAAAGGUCAUUGGAAGGUGGCUUUCUUUUCGGAGAAAGUGUUUAUAGCCUUUGACUCCUGCAAUCGGAGAGACUGAGGUCUGCAGCGUAGAUCCUUCAGGGGUUAGAUACAUUUGUGCUAAGUUAUAGCUUUUUAUAGACAACUUGUUGACUAUGAUUAGUCUUGUAGCUUACUCGCUUAUGCUAUUUUACCUACGCUUAGGAUGUUGACACACGCGCGUGCUCG
RNAcentral lists this ribosomal RNA (775 nucleotides) under uncultured Neocallimastigales. RNAcentral describes it as "partial large subunit ribosomal RNA". It matches the Rfam family "Eukaryotic large subunit ribosomal RNA", at positions 26 to 644 of the family's 3401-position model. The record is from RNAcentral. Lineage: Eukaryota; Fungi; Neocallimastigomycota; Neocallimastigomycetes; Neocallimastigales.